GGGAUGAGUAUCGGAUUACUGGGCGUAAGCGCGCGUAGGUGGUUAAUUAAGUCAAAUGUGAAAUCCCCGAGCUUAACUUGGGAAUUGCAUUCGAUACUGGUUAGCUAGAGUAUGGGAGAGGAUGGUAGAAUUCCAGGUGUAGCGGUGAAAUGCGUAGAGAUCUGGAGGAAUACCGAUGGCGAAGGCAGCCAUCUGGCCUAAUACUGACACUGAGGUGCGAAAGCAUGGGGAGCAAACAGGAUUAGAUACCCUGGUAGUCCAUGCCGUAAACGAUGUCUACUAGCCGUUGGGGGAUUUGAUCCUUUAGUGGCGCAGCUAACGCGAUAAGUAGACCGCCUGGGGAGUACGGUCGCAAGACUAAAACUCAAAUGAAUUGACGGGGGCCCGCACAAGCGGUGGAGCAUGUGGUUUAAUUCGAUGCAACGCGAAGAACCUUACCUGGCCUUGACAUAGUAGAGACUUUCCAGAGAUGGAUUGGUGCCUUCGGGAAUCUACAUACAGGUGCUGCAUGGCUGUCGUCAGCUCGUGUCGUGAGAUGUUGGGUUAAGUCCCGCAACGAGCGCAACCCUUUUCCUUACUUGCCAGCAUUUCGGAUGGGAACUUUAAGGAUACUGCCAGUGACAAACUGGAGGAAGGCGGGGACGACGUCAAGUCAUCAUGGCCCUUACGGCCAGGGCUACACACGUGCUACAAUGGUCGGUACAAAGGGUUGCUACACAGCGAUGUGAUGCUAAUCUCAAAAAGCCGAUCGUAGUCCGGAUCGCAGUCUGCAACUCGACUGCGUGAAGUCGGAAUCGCUAGUAAUCGCGGAUCAGAAUGCCGCGGUGAAUACGUUCCCGGGCCUUGUACACACCGCCCGUCACACCAUGGGAGUUUGUUGCACCAGAAGUAGUAGUCUAACCGCAAGGGAGGACGCUUACCACGGUGUGGCCGAUGACUGGGGUGAAGUCGAGAGGGGGCACCCCUCUCUCUUUUUAA
Molecule: ribosomal RNA, 978 nt
Filed under: Acinetobacter sp. NF85
Lineage: Bacteria; Pseudomonadati; Pseudomonadota; Gammaproteobacteria; Moraxellales; Moraxellaceae
Description: bacterial SSU rRNA
Rfam family: Bacterial small subunit ribosomal RNA
Source: RNAcentral